RNAcentral lists this long non-coding RNA (805 nucleotides) under Canis lupus familiaris (dog). RNAcentral describes it as "lncRNA (ENSCAFG00000054525.1)". Lineage: Eukaryota; Metazoa; Chordata; Mammalia; Carnivora; Canidae. The record is from RNAcentral.
AAAACAGAAAGUGGAAACUUCUUUCUCCAGCUGAUGGCAAUAGCAGUACCAGAAGGUGAAUAUUAAAGGCCUUGAAGAGACUAGAAGACAGUCUGAAAACAUUAACAUUCCAUAUAGGUGAAUGCAUGGGAGGAGAAGAUGGUCCAGUUCUUACCUCAACACAAAGCGGGAAUCCACACCAGAAUGGAGCCCAGUGCCAGGAAUCCGGAGGAACCUCUAAAGCCUACAUGCUGCCUGUGAUAGAAGGACAACCGAAGGACACGGGAAGACAGCCUGAAAUCCACUGCUAUCAAGGGUUUUAGAGACAAGGAGUGUUGUGUUCCGGAAGCCGUAAACAUGGGAGGGACAGAGCUGGCCGCUUACAGCCAUCUGGCUACAGUCCUACCACACCCUCUUCUCCAUCCUGUCUGAAACCGCACCCCUGGGGCCCGCCUGAAGCUGGACCAGAUUCCAUAUAAAUUGGGGGACAGAACGCCUUUCUUAGACAAUCUCUCAGAGAAACCCUGUUUCUUCUUGGGUCCCAGUCCUGGGUUUCUUUUCUCCUUCUCUUCAUUAAUUUUGCAAUUUACUUUGUUGUAUCUUUUAACCACACAAUAAAGCCAUGAGGAGACAAAUGCUGAAUUAACAAGCAGGGCUGCACAAUUGAGCUAUGCUAGUGGGUGUGAAGUAGCAUCACACUGUGGUUUUGAUUUGCAUUUUCCUGAUGACUAAUGAUGUUGAGCAUCUUUUCAUGUGUUUAAUAGCCAUUUGUACAUUUUCUUUGGAGAAUUGUCUGUUCAAGCAGUCUGCCAAUUUUUUUAAUUCG